This 250-nucleotide ribosomal RNA is filed under the name uncultured bacterium. RNAcentral's name for it is "partial 16S ribosomal RNA". It matches the Rfam family "Bacterial small subunit ribosomal RNA", at positions 524 to 773 of the family's 1533-position model. The record is from RNAcentral.
UACGGAGGGUGCAAGCGUUGUUCGGAAUUACUGGGCGUAAAGCGCACGUAGGCGGAUCUGUAAGUCAAUUGUGAAAGCCCCGGACUCAACCCGGGAAUUGCAGUUGAAACUACAGACCUUGAAUACCUGAGAGGGUGACGGAAUUCCUGGAGUAGAAGUGAAAUUCGUAGAUAUCAGGAGGAACACCGGAGGCGAAGGCGGUUGCCUGGCAGUGUAUUGACGCUGAGGUGCGAAAGCGUGGGGAGCAAAC